AUACGUAGGGAGCGAGCGUUGUCCGGAAUUACUGGGUGUAAAGGGAGCGUAGGCGGGAGUGCAAGUCAGAUGUGAAAUACAUGGGCUCAACCCAUGGGCUGCAUUUGAAACUGCAUUUCUUGAGUGCAGUAGAGGUAAGCGGAAUUCCUGGUGUAGCGGUGAAAUGCGUAGAUAUCAGGAGGAACACCGGUGGCGAAGGCGGCUUACUGGGCUUUUACUGACGCUGAGGCUCGAAAGCGUGGGGAGCAAACAGGAUUAGAUACCCUGGUAGUCCACGCUGUAAACGAUGAUUACUAGGUGUGGGGGGACUGACCCCUUCCGUGCCGCAGUUAACACAAUAAGUAAUCCACCUGGGGAGUACGGCCGCAAGGUUGAAACUCAAAUGAAUUGACGGGG
Molecule: ribosomal RNA, 396 nt
Filed under: uncultured bacterium
Lineage: Bacteria
Description: partial 16S ribosomal RNA
Rfam family: Bacterial small subunit ribosomal RNA
Source: RNAcentral